RNAcentral lists this ribosomal RNA (545 nucleotides) under uncultured bacterium. RNAcentral describes it as "partial 16S ribosomal RNA". It matches the Rfam family "Bacterial small subunit ribosomal RNA", at positions 355 to 891 of the family's 1533-position model. The record is from RNAcentral.
UGGGGAAUUUUGGACAAUGGGCGCAAGCCUGAUCCAGCCAUGCCGCGUGCGGGAAGAAGGCCUUCGGGUUGUAAACCGCUUUUGUCAGGGAAGAAAUCUUCUGAGUUAAUACCUCGGGAGGAUGACGGUACCUGAAGAAUAAGCACCGGCUAACUACGUGCCAGCAGCCGCGGUAAUACGUAGGGUGCAAGCGUUAAUCGGAAUUACUGGGCGUAAAGCGUGCGCAGGCGGUUUUGUAAGACAGAGGUGAAAUCCCCGGGCUCAACCUGGGAACUGCCUUUGUGACUGCAAGGCUUGAGUGCGGCAGAGGGGGGAUGGAAUUCCGCGUGUAGCAGUGAAACGCGUAGAUAUGCGGAGGAACACCGAUGGCGAAGGCAAUCCCCUGGGCCUGCACUGACGCUCAUGCACGAAAGCGUGGGGAGCAAACAGGAUUAGAUACCCUGGUAGUCCACGCCCUAAAACGAUGUCAACUGGUUGUUGGGAAGGUUCCUUCUCAGUAACGUAGCUAACGCGUGAAGUUGACCGCCUGGGGAGUACGGCCGCAA